GGAGGGGUGGCAGAGUGGUCGAUUGCACCUGUCUUGAAAACAGGAGUCUCAGAAAUGGGACCAAGAGUUCGAAUCUCUUCCCCUCCG
RNAcentral lists this transfer RNA (87 nucleotides) under sediment metagenome. Its description in RNAcentral is "tRNA-Ser". It matches the Rfam family "tRNA". From Rfam's summary of the family: Transfer RNA (tRNA) molecules are approximately 80 nucleotides in length. Their secondary structure includes four short double-helical elements and three loops (D, anti-codon, and T loops). Further hydrogen bonds mediate the characteristic L-shaped molecular structure. tRNAs have two regions of fundamental functional importance: the anti-codon, which is responsible for specific mRNA codon recognition, and the 3' end, to which the tRNAs corresponding amino acid is attached (by aminoacyl-tRNA synthetases). tRNAs cope with the degeneracy of the genetic code in two manners: having more than one tRNA (with a specific anti-codon) for a particular amino acid; and 'wobble' base-pairing, i.e. permitting non-standard base-pairing at the 3rd anti-codon position. The record is from RNAcentral.